AGCUUCUUGUUCUUUAGCAUCAAGUCAUUAACAGAGCCACCUUCCAUCAAUUUGGUUACCACACAUAAGCCAUGAUUUUCAUCAACACAAACACCAUAAAAUUGAAGGAUAUUUUUAUGUCCGCAAGUCAUUAACUCCAAAAGGUCUUUGCGGAGUUCAAAGUCAUAAGAAUUCCCGUUGUCACAUCCUUUCAGCUUCUCAAUUCCAACCCUUUUGCCCUUGUAAACUCCCUUAAAAGAAUU
RNAcentral lists this unclassified non-coding RNA (242 nucleotides) under Hevea brasiliensis (rubber tree). Lineage: Eukaryota; Viridiplantae; Streptophyta; Magnoliopsida; Malpighiales; Euphorbiaceae. The record is from RNAcentral.